GUAGUCCACGCCCUAAACGAUGUACACUAGACUGAAGCGGCUCUGACGUCGUUUUGGUCGUAGAGAAAUUGAUAAGUGUACCGCCUGGGGAGUACGGUCGCAAGGCUAAAACUCAAAGGAAUUGACGGGGGCUCACACAAGCGGUGGAGCAUGUUGCUUAAUUCGAAGCAACGCGAAGAACCUUACCUGGGUUUGACAUGCUUGGAUUAACUUCCUGAAAGGGAAGCCACACUCGCAAGAGUGGAACAAGCACAGGUGCUGCAUGGCUGUCGUCAGCUCGUGCUGUGAAGUGUCGGGUUAAGUCCCUUAACGAGCGCAACCCUUGUCGUUAGUUGCUACCAGGUAAUGCUGAGGACUCUAACGAGACUGCCGGUGUCAAACCGGA
This 385-nucleotide ribosomal RNA is filed under the name uncultured bacterium. RNAcentral's name for it is "bacterial SSU rRNA". It matches the Rfam family "Bacterial small subunit ribosomal RNA", at positions 790 to 1167 of the family's 1533-position model. The record is from RNAcentral.